GUUACGCUAAUACCGCAUACGAUCUAAGGAUGAAAGUGGGGGAUCGCAAGACCUCAUGCUCAUGGAGCGGCCGAUAUCUGAUUAGCUAGUUGGUAGGGUAAAAGCCUACCAAGGCAUCGAUCAGUAGCUGGUCUGAGAGGACGACCAGCCACACUGGGACUGAGACACGGCUCAGACUCCUACGGGAGGCAGCAGUGGGGAAUUUUGGACAAUGGGCGAAAGCCUGAUCCAGCAAUGCCGCGUGUGUGAAGAAGGCCUUCGGGUUGUAAAGCACUUUUGGCGGGAACGAAACGGGCUGAGAUAAUACCUUGGCCUAAUGACGGUACCCGCAGAAUAAGCACCGGCUAACUACGUGCCAGCAGCCGCGGUAAUACGUAGGGUGCAAGCGUUAAUCGGAAUUACUGGGCGUAAAGCGUGCGCAGGCGGUUAUGUAAGACAGAUGUGAAAUGCGGCUUAACCUGGGAACUGCAUUUGUGACUGCAUGGCUAGAAUCUGG
Molecule: ribosomal RNA, 496 nt
Filed under: uncultured bacterium
Lineage: Bacteria
Description: bacterial SSU rRNA
Rfam family: Bacterial small subunit ribosomal RNA
Source: RNAcentral